Molecule: long non-coding RNA, 434 nt
Filed under: Musa acuminata (dwarf banana)
Lineage: Eukaryota; Viridiplantae; Streptophyta; Magnoliopsida; Zingiberales; Musaceae
Description: long non-coding RNA (MACU_LNC009408)
Source: RNAcentral
UUUGAAAGAUUGGGAGAAUGUCUAGAUUAGCAAACCAUUGAAUAUGUUCUAAAUCACUUAAUUCGUCUAAAUCAACAUAUUAACCCUUAUGAACAUGUCUAGACUCUAUUGAAGGAAAUUUUAGGACAUGUUGAUUAGAAUUGAAAAGUAAGGAGUCAUAAUUUUCAUCUAAUCUCCUCUUCCCUUUGUCCCUAGAGGAUCUUCUAGAAGCCAUGAGUCUAAACACAUAAAUGAUACCAAGAAUUACACAUAAGAGGCAAGAUCUAUUAAUAAAUUGAGAGAAGAGGUUUGAGAAUUACCCUUGCAGUAAUCUUCUUGAAAGGUUAAGAUUGAUCCUUAAAUUUGAAGAAGAGGAGGGUUUCCUUGAGUUUCUAGAGGAGGAUCAAGGAGAAUGAGAGGUGGAGAGGUGUUUAGAGGUGUUUGGAGGAAUGUAG